This 783-nucleotide ribosomal RNA is filed under the name Bacillus subtilis. RNAcentral describes it as "bacterial SSU rRNA". It matches the Rfam family "Bacterial small subunit ribosomal RNA", at positions 92 to 858 of the family's 1533-position model. The record is from RNAcentral. Lineage: Bacteria; Bacillati; Bacillota; Bacilli; Caryophanales; Bacillaceae.
UUAGCGGCGGACGGGUGAGUAACACGUGGGGUAACCUGCCUGUAAGACUGGGAUAACUCCGGGAAACCGGGGCUAAUACCGGAUGGUUGUUUGAACCGCAUGGUUCAAACAUAAAAGGUGGCUUCGGCUACCACUUACAGAUGGACCCGCGGCGCAUUAGCUAGUUGGUGAGGUAAUGGCUCACCAAGGCAACGAUGCGUAGCCGACCUGAGAGGGUGAUCGGCCACACUGGGACUGAGACACGGCCCAGACUCCUACGGGAGGCAGCAGUAGGGAAUCUUCCGCAAUGGACGAAAGUCUGACGGAGCAACGCCGCGUGAGUGAUGAAGGUUUUCGGAUCGUAAAGCUCUGUUGUUAGGGAAGAACAAGUACCGUUCGAAUAGGGCGGUACCUUGACGGUACCUAACCAGAAAGCCACGGCUAACUACGUGCCAGCAGCCGCGGUAAUACGUAGGUGGCAAGCGUUGUCCGGAAUUAUUGGGCGUAAAGGGCUCGCAGGCGGUUUCUUAAGUCUGAUGUGAAAGCCCCCGGCUCAACCGGGGAGGGUCAUUGGAAACUGGGGAACUUGAGUGCAGAAGAGGAGAGUGGAAUUCCACGUGUAGCGGUGAAAUGCGUAGAGAUGUGGAGGAACACCAGUGGCGAAGGCGACUCUCUGGUCUGUAACUGACGCUGAGGAGCGAAAGCGUGGGGAGCGAACAGGAUUAGAUACCCUGGUAGUCCACGCCGUAAACGAUGAGUGCUAAGUGUUAGGGGGUUUCCGCCCCUUAGUGCUGCAGCUAACGC